AUUGAACGCUGGCGGCGUGCCUAAUACAUGCAAGUCGAACGGAGUGGCGCACGGGUGAGUAAUGUAUAGCUAAUCUGCCCUACACUAGAGGACAACAGUUGGAAACGGCUGCUAAUACUCUAUAGUGUAGGAUGAGGCUAUAUUGUAUCAGCUAGUUGGUGAGGUAAUGGCUCACCAAGGCUAUGACGCAUAACUGGUCUGAGAGGAUGAUCAGUCAGACAGGAACUAAGACACGGGCCAGACUACGACGGGAGGCAGCAGUAGGGAAUAUAGCUCAAAGGGGGAAAACCGGAAGGAGCAACGCGGCGUGGAGGAUGACACUUUUCGGAGCGUAAGCGCCGUUUGUUAGGAAAGCGGUACCUAACGAAUAAGCACAGGCUAACUCCGUACCAGCAGCCGCGGUAAUAC
This 408-nucleotide ribosomal RNA is filed under the name uncultured bacterium. Its description in RNAcentral is "partial 16S ribosomal RNA". It matches the Rfam family "Bacterial small subunit ribosomal RNA", at positions 30 to 526 of the family's 1533-position model. The record is from RNAcentral.